AUUGAACGCUGGCGGCAGGCCUAACACAUGCAAGUCGAGCGGAUGAAGGGAGCUUGCUCCUGGAUUCAGCGGCGGACGGGUGAGUAAUGCCCAGGAAUCUGCCUGGUAGUGGGGGAUAACGUCCGGAAACGGGCGCUAAUACCGCAUACGUCCUGAGGGAGAAAGUGGGGGAUCUUCGGACCUCACGCUAUCAGAUGAGCCUAGGUCGGAUUAGCUAGUUGGUGGGGUAAAGGCCUACCAAGGCGACGAUCCGUAACUGGUCUGAGAGGAUGAUCAGUCACACUGGAACUGAGACACAGUCCAGACUCCUACGGGAGGCAGCAGUGGGGAAUAUUGGACAAUGGGCGAAAGCCUGAUCCAGCCAUGCCGCGUGUGUGAAGAAGGUCUUCGGAUUGUAAAGCACUUUAAGUUGGGAGGAAGGGCAGUAAGUUAAUACCUUGCUGUUUUGACGUUACCAACAGAAUAAGCACCGGCUAACUUCGUG
Molecule: ribosomal RNA, 484 nt
Filed under: uncultured bacterium
Lineage: Bacteria
Description: partial 16S ribosomal RNA
Rfam family: Bacterial small subunit ribosomal RNA
Source: RNAcentral